AGGGAAGGGUCUCUUUCUGGAGAUCUCUUCUCUGUAGAAUCUUCCCUGUGGAUCUAGAUCUUUGGGCACAGGAUGGUAAAGUUGGAUUUCAGACACAAGAAAAUUCCAAUCUGCAGACAAAGCUCAACUUGCAGGUAUUCCCAGUCUGUAGGUCUUCCAGAAAUGGAGCAAGGCAUCCCACUGCCACUCAGUUUGAUGGGAGAACAAAGCGAUCUACUCAUGACAGCCAUCAUCCCUGAGAUAAUGAAGCAAACAUGGAUGAUUCCUGGGCUAGUGCACCCUUGCAAUUUCACCACUUGUCAAGAGCUUAUUGUGAUAUCUACAGUUCGGAAAAUACUACUGAGGAUGAAGUAUUUCCAAAUGCACCAGAAAGGGAGUGAUUGCAAAAAAUAUACAAACGUGUGAAGUGCCAGAUGUCCAGCAAGAUGGCAGAUGUGAUCGUGCAAUGUGUAUACAAGUCUCAACACAAAUGAACAAGCAUGAACAUGCAUGAACAUACCACAUAAGAACAUGUAAAUGUUAUGAUUACUACAAAAGUAAUUUUAUAAAUAAUAAAUAAGUAUAAAUAAUACUUUUACUCAUCUAUAGAAGUCCCUGGGUUUUGCAUAUAUACGUUACCUUAAAAAUUGCCAUUUUCUUAAAGUAUUUGGGCAUAAUGAAGACAUUUUUCUUUUUUUUUUUUGUGAGAAAAUCUGACAUUUGAGAACUUGAUGUUAUCUUAAAUAUUAUAUUUUUAGAGGUAAAGCUUGUAUACAAAGACACUUACAUUUAAGAAUAACAGACCUCAAAAACUUUGGGAAGCCCUUAUAUUAUUACUUAGAAUAUUAGUAUUGAAUUGGCAUAGUGAUUUUAUUGAGACGCACAUUUUAGAUUUUUUAUUUUAAUUAUAGAAUUUAAAGAUAGAUAAAGAAACAGUCAAAUAUACAUGAAUUAAAUUUUAAGGGAGACUGUUAAACCACAAAACAUCUGAAUAAUACUCCUUUCAGGCAGAAUUAAAUUGACCUCAGUGCACUUUAAAUUCCUCAUAUGAGUUAAUCUCAAAUGAAGCCACUUAAAAUAUGAGAAAGAUAUGUCUACAGAGGAAAGUACUAUGCAGAUUAACAGAUACUCUACAAUAAUACUUUCAGUUAACUUUAAUUAAUUUUUGUGAAUCACAAUGAAGAUAAACCUAUUAUGAAUGUAUUGUGCUUGUGAAAUAGCGUUAUUCAGCGGUUUUAGUUUUUUAAAUUUAUGAAAGGCAAAACAGUGUAUUUGCAUAGUAAAGUGAAGGCCAUAAAGAUUCUUAAUUCAGGCUGUUCAUGUAUGAAUUUAAAGUGAAUUAGCUAACAAUUCAUUCCUAUUAUACUUUCACAAAGAAAUAAGGAGGUCUGAAUUUCAUCCACAUGAACUGACUCCUGAUGUAAAGGCCAGUUAUUUCAAACAAGACUUUAAUGCAAUUUAAAGAUCAAUGUACAUUUUUUUUACUUGUU
Non-coding RNA from Meleagris gallopavo (turkey), 1469 nucleotides. Lineage: Eukaryota; Metazoa; Chordata; Aves; Galliformes; Phasianidae. The record is from RefSeq and is a predicted model, not a curated record.